AUUAACUGCAGGCGCAGAGUACCCUACGGCAGCCAAGUGAUUUUUGCACCCAGGAUGCCUCUCUCCCAUCUGUAGCUGCCCAUCCACCAAAGGUUGAAAACGAAACGACCUUGCACCUCGGCAUGCCUGGAGUGAAGCCUUCUGGGUCAAGGGGCAGAGCAAAGAGCAAGCCUGGGGGCAGAAUACAACUUAUUAUUUAUUUUUAAAAUUUCUAUCCUUCCUUCUUCCCAGAAGGAGCUCAGAACCCCGCUCUUCCUAGGCUCACCGUGCAGCCUUUGUGAAGCAACCACAUAGCUGACAAGCGUCACAUCACUGGAGCCACCUGACUCAAGGGGGAUGGGAUGGACCCGGAAGUGCUCCAGCAUGUCGAAGAUGGUCUGGAACCAAAGAUGCUGAACCCGGCAUUGCCCAUCUUCAUUAAGGGAGAGGCGCAGGUGCUAGCGGUGGUAGAAGAAGGCUGCUAUGAGAGAACCGUCGUGAGCCACAGACCCCUGCUGGAUCCUCCCUCACCCUGCCCCACAACCUGGCACCAUCUUGCACUCACCUUCGCUUUCCCCUGGAAGUUAAAAGUCAGGACAUAUUCGCCACGUCGCGUCUCACUUUGCCGCACUAAGAAGACACCAUGGCUGCUAGCUCCCCCUGCCAAUACCAGCUGGGCCGCUUUGAGACGGGACAGAGUACCAUGGAACCAAGGAUAUUCAGAGAGGGGGUGUUCUGUGUCGCCAAGGCUUCCCCCACCUGGGUCGGGCUCCCCUUGGAAGAGGAAGGAACCUGAAGCAGGGAGAAAGGCAGCAGAAGUCUCCCCAAGCCCAUUCAGACAAUUCUGGAACCUUGCUUGCACAUCAGGACUGUCCCAGAAUCAAGGAAGAGAACCAGGAAUCCUGGUUCUAUCUCAAGCCGUUACCUGUGGUGUCAGGGGUUUCAGGGAAGGUCGAGUGGAGGAGCCCCGUGGGAAAUGGCCCUUCAUCAAUCGGCACUCGAGGUGGCAGCUCAGGAGGCAGCAACUCCAUUGAGUCAAAGUGGGAGGCAGCGAUGGAGACCGAGCUGGGAGACAUGGAAGCUGAGGGGCGUUCCAUCAGUCCGCCAUAGGCACCUGCAGAUGGGGAGAAAGGCCAGGUCACAGGUCAUGUGCAAAUGCAGCUUCUAAAUAUCUUGGCUACAUUUUGUGUAUGAUACACUGUAGAAAGAA
This is a long non-coding RNA of Rhineura floridana, 1189 nucleotides long. RefSeq lists it as uncharacterized. The record is from RefSeq and is a predicted model, not a curated record. The transcript has 3 exons. NCBI's taxonomy places the organism in Eukaryota, Metazoa, Chordata, Lepidosauria, Squamata, Rhineuridae.